GCAGAUUUUUGCACCAACAACACUUAAAUUUAAUCUCUUAUAGGCUUCUUGGAUCAUAGAUAAAAAAUUGUUCAUCCUUGGGAUUGAACCUGAGCCUCAUGUGUAGUGCUAGUUAGACAUAGUCAACUCUUCAAUCUCGUUUGAUCCAUAACUUAAUUCUCAAUCAAGUUAGUCUAUAUAUUUAAUCAAGUCAAAUAUUUUUAAAUUAGAUAUAUAAACAUAGGUCAAUACUUUUCUAUUUUAUUUAACUUUUGUGCAUCACUCCAUAGGUUCGAACACUAAGUCGGUAGCACAAAAAUUAUUUUUUGUACUAAUCAAAGAU
This 322-nucleotide long non-coding RNA is filed under the name Elaeis guineensis (African oil palm). RNAcentral's name for it is "long non-coding RNA (EGUI_LNC081991)". The record is from RNAcentral. Lineage: Eukaryota; Viridiplantae; Streptophyta; Magnoliopsida; Arecales; Arecaceae.